GGGUUUAAGGCCUCGGAGUCCCCGUCGCCAAUGGAGUCCAAAUCCGCCCGCCGCUUCAAGAUCGGCAGGCAGUCGUCGCUCAAGCCGGACAACGCCGCCGACGAGGAAGACUCUGACGGGAUCGAGAUCCCCGAUGGCAUGGACAUCAACUUCCGCCUCAUGUGCCUCGCCAGUGAGGGAGACGCCGAGGGGAUCGAGGAGUUGCUCGACUCGGG
This 215-nucleotide unclassified non-coding RNA is filed under the name Hevea brasiliensis (rubber tree). Lineage: Eukaryota; Viridiplantae; Streptophyta; Magnoliopsida; Malpighiales; Euphorbiaceae. The record is from RNAcentral.